RNAcentral lists this ribosomal RNA (296 nucleotides) under uncultured microorganism. RNAcentral's name for it is "partial 16S ribosomal RNA". It matches the Rfam family "Bacterial small subunit ribosomal RNA", at positions 505 to 796 of the family's 1533-position model. The record is from RNAcentral.
GUGCCAGCACCCGCGGUAAUUACGGAGGGUGCAAGCGUUAAUCAGAAUUACUGGGCGUAAAGCGCACGCAGGCGGUCUGUCAAGUCGGAUGUGAAAUCCCCCGGGGCUCAACCCUGGGAACUGCAUUCGAAACUGGCAGGCUAGAGUCUUGUAGAGGGGGGUAGAAUUCCAGGUGUAGCGGUGAAAUGCGUAGAGAUCUGGAGGAAUACCGGUGGCGAAGGCGGCCCCCUGGACAAAGACUGACGCUCAGGUGCGAAAGCGUGGGGAGCAAACAGGAUUAGAUACCCUGGUAGUCC